Molecule: unclassified non-coding RNA, 183 nt
Filed under: uncultured fungus
Lineage: Eukaryota; Fungi
Also listed under: 1 other name
Description: sequence contains ITS1, 5.8S rRNA gene
Source: RNAcentral
CCGAGUUUACAACUCCCAAACCCAAUGUGAACCAUACCAAACUGUUGCCUCGGCGGGGUCACGCCCCGGGUGCGUCGCAGCCCCGGAACCAGGCGCCCGCCGGAGGGACCAACCAAACUCUUUACUGUAGUCCCCUCGCGGACGUUAUUUCUUACAGCUCUGAGCAAAAAUUCAAAUGAAUCA